GAUGAACGCUGGCGGCGUGCCUAAUACAUGCGAGUCGAGCGAACGGACGAGAAGCUUGCUUCUCUGAUGUUAGCGGCGGACGGGUGAGUAACACGUGGAUAACCUACCUAUAAGGCUGGGAUAACUUCGGGAAACCGGAGCUAAUACCGGAUAAUAUUUUGAACCGCAUGGUUCAAAAGUGAAAGACGGUCUUGCUGUCACUUAUAGAUGGAUCCGCGCUGCAUUAGCUAGUUGGUAAGGUAACGGCUUACCAAGGCAACGAUGCAUAGCCGACCUGAGAGGGUGAUCGGCCACACUGGAACUGAGACACGGUCCAGACUCCUACGGGAGGCAGCAGUAGGGAAUCUUCCGCAAUGGGCGAAAGCCUGACGGAGCAACGCCGCGUGAGUGAUGAAGGUCUUCGGAUCGUAAAACUCUGUUAUUAGGGAAGAACAUAUGUGUAAGUAACUGUGCACAUCUUGACGGUACCUAAUCAGAAAGCCACGGCUAACUACGUG
This 497-nucleotide ribosomal RNA is filed under the name uncultured bacterium. RNAcentral's name for it is "partial 16S ribosomal RNA". It matches the Rfam family "Bacterial small subunit ribosomal RNA", at positions 28 to 507 of the family's 1533-position model. The record is from RNAcentral.